AUAAACGCUGGCGGCGUGCAUGAGACAUGCAAGUCGAACGGGCGUCUCGGGCUUGCUCGAGACGCUAGUGGCGAACGGCUGAGUAACGCGUAGGUGACCUGCCCCGAAGUGGGGAAUAACUGCCCGAAAGGGUGGCUAAUACCGCAUGUGGUCGCACGUUUCAUGCGUGCGAGUAAAGCCGCAAGGCGCUUCGGGAGGGGCCUGCGUCCGAUUAGCUCGUUGGUGGGGUAAUGGCUCACCAAGGCGACGAUCGGUAGGUGGUCUGAGAGGACGAUCACCCAGACUGGGACUGAGACACGGCCCAGACUCCUACGGGAGGCAGCAGUCGGGAAUUUUGCUCAAUGGGCGAAAGCCUGAAGCAGCAACGCCGCGUGAGGGAUGAAGGCCUUCGGGUUGUAAACCUCUUUUCCCAGGGAAGAUGAUGACGGUACCUGGGGAAUAAGCCACGGCAAACUACGU
This 459-nucleotide ribosomal RNA is filed under the name uncultured bacterium. RNAcentral describes it as "bacterial SSU rRNA". It matches the Rfam family "Bacterial small subunit ribosomal RNA", at positions 29 to 506 of the family's 1533-position model. The record is from RNAcentral.